AGCUCUGCGAACAUAUAUCAAUGCUGUUGCGGUUAAAAAGCUCGUAGUUGGAUCUCGUGUUUAGCCCCAGGUGCGCACGACAUGUGCGUUUACUUGGCGGCGACACAAUAUAUAGUCAGACGGGCGACGGUGUCCUUAAUUGAACGCCGUUUGUCUCGCUGACGAGUUUACUUUGAACAAAUCAGAGUGCUCAAAACAGGCGUUUGCUUGUAUGCUUUUGCAUGGAAUAAUAGAAUAGGACCAUGGUCUUAUUUUGUUGGUUCUUGAGACCACGGUAAUGAUUAAAAGGAACAGACGGUGGCAUUCGUACUGCGACGUUAGAGGUGAAAUUCUUGGAUCGUCGCAAGACGGACUACUGCGAAGGCAUUUGUCAAGAAUGUUUUCA
Molecule: ribosomal RNA, 385 nt
Filed under: uncultured eukaryote
Lineage: Eukaryota
Description: SSU rRNA
Rfam family: Eukaryotic small subunit ribosomal RNA
Source: RNAcentral